UACGGAAGGCAGCAGUGGGGAAUAUUGCACAAUGGGCGCAAGCCUGAUGCAGCCAUGCCGCGUGUAUGAAGAAGGCCUUCGGGUUGUAAAGUACUUUCAGUCGUGAGGAAGGUGUUAAGGUUAAUAACCUUAGCAAUUGACGUUAGCGACAGAAGAAGCACCGGCUAACUCCGUGCCAGCAGCCGCGGUAAUACGGAGGGUGCGAGCGUUAAUCGGAAUUACUGGGCGUAAAGGGCACGCAGGCGGUUAAUUAAGUUGGAUGUGAAAUCCCCGGGCUUAACCUGGGAAUGGCAUUCAAGACUGGUUAGCUAGAGUCUUGUAGAGGGGGUAGAAUUCCGAUGUGUAGCGGUGAAAUGCGUAGAGAUGUGGAGGAAUACCGGUGGCGAAGGCGGCCCCUGGACAAAGACUGACGCUCAUGUGCGAAAGCGUGGGGAGCAAACG
This 441-nucleotide ribosomal RNA is filed under the name uncultured bacterium. Its description in RNAcentral is "bacterial SSU rRNA". It matches the Rfam family "Bacterial small subunit ribosomal RNA", at positions 340 to 774 of the family's 1533-position model. The record is from RNAcentral.